UUAAAAGACAGGUGGUGACCUCCAGGCACAAGGCAGGAGAGCAGAGGAGCACGUGUGAACCCCAUGUCUAUGCGACCCGUAGAUACAGUUCCCUCUGCACUACGCGCCUUGAGUUUCUAAGAACCCAGCCCUCAGGCCGGGGCCGCUGGCAUCCCUGGUCGUGGCCGGCUGCGGAAACAUGAGCUCACUUUCCAAAUAUAGUUGAGCGGAGCAAGAGGACAGAUGGGAGCCCAAGGCCACAGUCGCCUCAAAGUGACCACGGACUGAGCAGUGUUUCAUGAAUAGACAAGGAAGGCCAACCUCCACUCCCCCAGAAAAGAAGAAACGCUCACCGCAAGUCCAUCUCCUUUCUGGAGUCUUCCGACUAACCAAGGAUUGGAAAGAAAAGUUUCAUGACUCAGCCUAUAACCCUUCUGGACACCUAUACACACUGGCAACAAACCUCGGAGAUUGGCCAGAAGUGGAAGGCGGAGGAAGAUGUAGCACUGUAGGCCAAGAAGACCCGUGUGUCAGACCCCAUUAGCAGCUGGGAGAGCUCGGAAGAGGAGGUGGCGGCAGAAGCUGAAACCGCCAAAGCCAGUAAGAGUCCUGCAUGUUGUGGGUCCCCCAUGGUUGGUGCUGGUGGGCUCGGCCCAUGGCCCUGCCCUUUCUGGGAACAGGCUGUCAGAUCACUUAGAGGCAGGUGUGAACCAGGCGAUCACCCCAAGAGAACACAGUCCUCAGUGGUUGAGGAUGUGGGCAUGGCUCAGAGAGUUGCUGGCAUUAUGAGCCUGGCUUGGGAGGAGACAGAGACAGGGCGGUGAUCCAGGGCAGCCGCAGGGAAUCCACCAGUGGAUCCGAGGAGACCUUUGCAGUGCUUCGGAGGGCCAGCAGGGGGAAGCACUGCCACCUCCGGCCUGGCAGCAGGGGGCG
Molecule: long non-coding RNA, 912 nt
Filed under: Camelus dromedarius (Arabian camel)
Lineage: Eukaryota; Metazoa; Chordata; Mammalia; Artiodactyla; Camelidae
Description: lncRNA (ENSCDRG00005018713.1)
Source: RNAcentral